UAAAAAACUGUUUACUGUGGCUACUUGUGGGUGAAGGUGAAAGGGGACCCUGUUGUUAAAACACUUUUCUUCUGUAUGAUGAGUCUGCACUACGUUUAUAUGUAAUGCUCUCCCUGCCCCCGAUGUUCACACUUUUGGCACAGUGUAGGAGAGACAGGCACUGCUCUGCACCUGCACAGGGUCCAGUUCAAUGCAUCUCACUGGUGUUUCUCGGGAAGAACACAGUGGACACUCACUUGCCAGUCAGCAGGCGACUCACUGAAGUCUAUGUCUGCCAGUCCUCAGCGUCACGGGGACUGAAAGGCUGUCAUGUGUCACGGUUCCCCGGCUCACAAGGUUAGCAGUGACAGACACAUCUCAGCUCUGCUCGGGAGAGCAGCCCCGUAACACGCUUGUGGUUUCAGAUGUGGGCGGCCUCUGUGAACUUGUCAUGCGAGGCUCACGUCACCAACUGCUGCAGUUAUCUCCUGAAUCAGGCUGAGGGUCUUUGCCGCGCACCCAGAGACAGCUGGGUGACAGGUCGCCUCCAGGUUGGGGGCGCAGAGACUGGUGAUGGGACGACGCAGAUGCAUCUGGGAAGUAACUGCUGCAACAAGGGACAGACACAGCUGCAGAGAACUUGCCGUGGUGUUUCACGCUGUGGCUGCUGGUGCCCGGCUGCAUGCUCCGUUCUCGGGAAGGGCUGGACCUUGGAGAGUGAGGCGCUGAGGCACGGCAUGGGCACCUGGCUGCUGGCCUGCAUCUGCGUCUGCACCUGUCUCUGCUCGGGAGUCUCUGUCCCACGGGAAGGACGAGGGCCAAGGGCCGGAACCUUCACCUGCGUCACCAACAACAUUCUCAGGAUCGACUGCCAAUGGUCUGCCCCAGAGCUGGCCCAGGGCUCCAGCCCCUGGCUCCUCUUCACCAGCAACCAGGCUCCCGGCGGCUCACACAAGUGCGUGUUGCAGGGCAGGGACUGCAGUGUGGUGCUCCCACCCGACGCAGUGAUCCUGCCGUCCGACAAUUUCACCAUCACUUUCCACCGUUGCGUGUCUGGGAGGGAGCAGGUCACCCUGGUGGACCCACAGUACCUGCCCCGGAGACACGUUAAGCUGGACCCACCCUCUGACCUGCAGAGCAAUGUCAGCUCCGGCCACUGCAUCCUGACCUGGAUCAUCAGUCCUGCCUUGGAGCCGAUGACGACACUUCUCAGCUACGAGCUGGCCUUCAAGAAGCAGGAAGAGGCCUGGGAGGUAACACGUGGGCUGGUUUUCUCUGGAGUCCUCUCUCCCGGGGACAGCAGUCCAGGGUAGACUCCCCACUCUACACAGGGAGACGUCAACUCACAGAGAUGAGGAGGGGAGGGACUAGAGCUAGGUGUGUGUGUACAUACACAUGUGUAUGCUUUGUGCGUGUGUCUGGGAGUGAGGGUGACUGUGCCUGUGUCUCUGUGAGUGUGUGCACAUGCUUGGUGAGUGUGCAUGUAUGUUUAUGUGUGUGUGUGUGAAAGUAUGCCUUCUCUGUGUGUGUGCAUGUGAAUGUGGUGAGCGUGCCUGUGUGUUAACACAGGUGUGUUUAUGUGUGUGUAAAAGUAUGCCUUCUCUGUGUGUGUGCACGUGAUUGUGGUGAGCGUGCAUGUGCGUUAACACAGGUGUGUUAGUGAGUGUGUGAAAGUAUGCCUUCUCUGUGUGUGUGCACGUGAUUGUGGUGAGCGUGCCCGUGUGUUAACACAGGUGUGUUUAUGUGUGUGUGAAAGUAUGCCUUCUCUGUGUGUGUGCAUGUGAUUGUGGUGAGUGUGCCUGUGUGUUAACACAAGUGUGUGUGUGAGUGUGAAAGUAUGCCUUCUCUGUGUGUGUGCACGUGAAUGUGGUGAGCGUGCUUGUGUGUUAGCACAGGUGUGUUUAUGUGUGUGAAAGUAUGCCUUCUCUGUGUGUGUGCAUGUGAUUGUGGUGAGUGUGCCUGUGUGUUAACACAGGUGU
This 1958-nucleotide long non-coding RNA is filed under the name Aotus nancymaae (Ma's night monkey). RNAcentral describes it as "lncRNA (ENSANAG00000038677.1)". The record is from RNAcentral. Lineage: Eukaryota; Metazoa; Chordata; Mammalia; Primates; Aotidae.